CGGCAACUGUGCAGAGAGGCUUGCAGGUCCAAACCACUGGUAGCAGCCCCUGGUAUAUCCAGGACAUCAGCACAUAGAACCAGUGAAAGGGUCCUCCCUCAUAGUGACGCAUGUCAUAGACUCAGAUUUAUACAAACAAAUGCUGAGCAAACCAUGAAGAGUCUCUGGUAUUUUCAACAAUAUCAUCACAGAGGAACUGUAUUGAUUUCCUUGAACUUUUCAAAUGUAGAGGAGCCUUUAGAAGGAAGCCUUGAGCAUGAGGACAGACCCCCCUCAUCCAACCACCACCUGACUCUGUGUGAACCUGGAACUGUUAGAAUGUCUGUGCUGUGAUAAAAGGUCAUCUCCCUACAAUGUUAUGAUACAGACCUCAAACCUACAAACAUGAGGAACUUCUGCCUCCAGGUUAACUGCUUACCCACUGUACAAGACACGUUACACACAGUCCAGGAGGCGGAGCUUCUGAGAUAUCUAGAAACAGCUUAGAGGCAAAAUGACAAAAUAAAGCAGCAACAACAAAUAAAACCAAUCUUCUCGAACU
This 541-nucleotide long non-coding RNA is filed under the name Homo sapiens (human). RNAcentral's name for it is "non-protein coding LINC01255:8". Lineage: Eukaryota; Metazoa; Chordata; Mammalia; Primates; Hominidae. The record is from RNAcentral.